RNAcentral lists this ribosomal RNA (253 nucleotides) under uncultured bacterium. RNAcentral describes it as "partial 16S ribosomal RNA". It matches the Rfam family "Bacterial small subunit ribosomal RNA", at positions 524 to 776 of the family's 1533-position model. The record is from RNAcentral.
UACGUAGGGGCCGAGCGUUGUCCGGAGUUAUUGGGCGUAAAGCGCGCGCAGGCGGCUUGGCGCGCCCGACGUGAAAGCCCCCGGCUUAACCGGGGAGAGUCGUCGGGGACGGCCGGGCCUGAGGGCGGGAGAGGGUGGUGGAAUUCCCGGUGUAGUGGUGAAAUGCGUAGAGAUCGGGAGGAACACCUGUGGCGAAGGCGGCCACCUGGGCCGACCCUGACGCUGAGGCGCGAAGGCGUGGGGAGCGAACGGG